This 402-nucleotide ribosomal RNA is filed under the name uncultured bacterium. RNAcentral's name for it is "bacterial SSU rRNA". It matches the Rfam family "Bacterial small subunit ribosomal RNA", at positions 58 to 456 of the family's 1533-position model. The record is from RNAcentral.
CAAGUCCAACGGUAACAGGAAACAGCUUGCUGUUUCGCUGACGAGUGGCGGACGGGUGAGUAAUGUCUGGGAAACUGCCUGAUGGAGGGGGAUAACUACUGGAAACGGUAGCUAAUACCGCAUAACGUCGCAAGACCAAAGAGGGGGACCUCCGGGCCUCUUGCCAUCGGAUGUGCCCAGAUGGGAUUAGCUAGUAGGUGGGGUAACGGCUCACCUAGGCGACGAUCCCUAGCUGGUCUGAGAGGAUGACCAGCCACACUGGAACUGAGACACGGUCCAGACUUCUACGGGAGGCAGCAGUGGGGAAUAUUGCACAAUGGGCGCAAGCCUGAUGCAGCCAUGCCGCGUGUAUGAAGAAGGCCUUCGGGUUGUAAAGUACUUUCAGCGGGGAGGAACGGACUA